Molecule: ribosomal RNA, 500 nt
Filed under: uncultured bacterium
Lineage: Bacteria
Description: partial 16S ribosomal RNA
Rfam family: Bacterial small subunit ribosomal RNA
Source: RNAcentral
AUUGACCGCUGGCGGCAUGCCUUACACAUGCAAGUCGAACGGCAGCACGGGAGCAAUCCUGGUGGCGAGUGGCGAACGGGUGAGUAAAGUAUCGGAACGUGCCCAGUCGUGGGGGAUAACGUAGCGAAAGUUACGCUAAUACCGCAUACGAUCUAAGGAUGAAAGCGGGGGAUCGCAAGACCUCGCGCGAUUGGAGCGGCCGAUAUCAGAUUAGGUAGUUGGUGGGGUAAAGGCUCACCAAGCCAACGAUCUGUAGCUGGUCUGAGAGGACGACCAGCCAAACUGGAACUGAGACACGGUCCAGACUCCUACGGGAGGCAGCAGUGGGGAAUUUUGGACAAUGGACGCAAGUCUGAUCCAGCCAUUCCGCGUGAAGGAUGAAGGCCCUCGGGUUGUAAACUGCUUUUGUACGGAACGAAAAGGUCUCUCUUAAUACGGGGGACUCAUGACGGUACCGUAAGAAUAAGCACCGGCUAACUACGUGCCAGCAGCCGCCGUAA